Molecule: ribosomal RNA, 253 nt
Filed under: uncultured bacterium
Lineage: Bacteria
Description: partial 16S ribosomal RNA
Rfam family: Bacterial small subunit ribosomal RNA
Source: RNAcentral
GACGGAGGAGGCAAGCGUUAUCCGGAAUUAUUGGGCGUAAAGCGUCCGCAGGCGGUUAGUUAAGUGUGUUGUCAAAGUUCACAGCUCAAAUGUGGGAGGGUAAUGGAAACUGAUUAACUUGAGUGUGGUAGGGGUAGAGGGAAUUCCCGGUGUAGGGGUGAAAUGCGUAGAUAUCGGGAAGAACACCAGUGGCGAAGGCGCUCUACUGGGCCAUAAACGACGCUGAGGGACGAAAGCUAGGGGAGCGAAAUUG